This 1123-nucleotide ribosomal RNA is filed under the name Bacteroidota bacterium. RNAcentral describes it as "partial 23S ribosomal RNA". It matches the Rfam family "Bacterial large subunit ribosomal RNA", at positions 1 to 1068 of the family's 2925-position model. Lineage: Bacteria; Pseudomonadati; Bacteroidota. The record is from RNAcentral.
GGUGAAGUUACAAAGAGCGUAUGGGGGAUGCCUUGGCACUGGAAGGCGAUGAAGGACGUGGUUACCUGCGAUAAGCCUGGGUGAGUCGGAAGCUGACUUUGACCCCGGGAUCUCCGAAUGGGAAAACCCACCGAGGGUAAUGCCUCGGUAUCGUAUACUGAAUACAUAGGUAUACGAAGCAAACCCGCUGAACUGAAACAUCUAAGUAGGCGGAGGAAGAUAAAACAAACGUGAUACCCUGAGUAGUGGCGAGCGAAACGGGUAGAGCCUAAACCAUUUGUGCUGUCAAGCGUGCAAGCGUUGGCGCAAGGGUGUUAUAGGACGGACCGGUGAUCUGCACGAUCAUCAAAGAGUAAAAAAUCAUUAUCAUAGCUAAAGUACCUGGAACGGUACACCAUAGAGGGCGAUCGUCCCGUAAGCGAAAUGGUAAUGACUCUUGUCUGUAUCCUGAGUACGACGGAAUAAGUGAAAGUCUGUCGGAAGUUGCGAGAACCAUCUCGUAAGGCUAAAUACUCUCCAGUGACCGAUAGUGAACUAGUACCGUGAGGGAAAGGCGAAAAGAACCCUUUAGAAGGGAGUGAAAUAGUACCUGAAACCGUGCGCUUACAAACGGUGGGAGCGAGCCCGGAUUUAUCCGGAGGAGUGACUGCGUGCCUUUUGUUUAAUGAGCCUACGAGUUACUCAUCCGUUGCAAGGAUAAGCAAUUAUGUUGCGAAUCCGUAGCGAAAGCGAGUCUGAAUAGGGCGAUUCAGUAACGGGUGGUAGACGCGAAACCUUGUGAUCUAGCGAUGGCCAGGAUGAAGGCUGGGUAAAACCAACUGGAGGUCCGAACGGGUACGGGUUGAAAACUGUUCCGAUGAGCUGUCGUUAGGGGCGAAAGACUAAUCAAACUGGGAGAUAGCUCGUACUCCCCGAAAUGCCUUUAGGGGCAGCGUCAGAUAAGAGUCUUCCGGAGGUAGAGCACUGAUUGGGCUAGGGUCGUCACAACGAUACCAACCCCAGACAAACUCCGAAUUCCGGUAAGAUGUUUUCUGGCAGUGAGGCUGUGGGUGAUAAGAUCCAUUGCCGAGAGGGAAAGAACCCAGACCAUCAGCUAAGGUCCCCAAAUAAUAGUUAACAGAGA